GUCCUGAAGAGAUGGUAUUCGGAAUCACAAAAAUCUAUCGUCAGAUGGUCGAUUUUGAGGUCGCUAAGUUAAUCAAAGAAUCGAGCUUUGAAGACGAUGAUGGCUACAUCAAUUUUAACGAAUUCCGUAAAUCGCUUCUUCUCAAAUUGCCCCUAUAAAAUCAACAGUCUUUACUGGCCCAUUUACCUUGGAUGUGCCGUCUCCAUAUAGCAGCAAGACAAAAUUAACUUCUUCUGGACAAGGGUGACAAGAAUACGAGAUUCCUUACUACAACAUGACAAGAAAACAUCCAGAAAUUAUGUCUCAAUGUCAUCCUGAGUUGAAUGAUCGUGUUGUUGCUUUGUUGGAGGGAAACGGGGGGGGGGGGGGGGGGGGCUGUGAAAUGUACAAAUAUCAGCUAAAGUUGAAUAUUGUGACCGAUUGAUUUUUAAGAGGCAAGUGUGAACAGGAGCGUCUUUUGCAAGCAAUAUUUUCGGAUGAUAUUAGGUCGUGUGGAUACGGGUAGGCAAGGUGUUGCUAGCAUCCGCCACCGUUACCAUGGUUACGUUCAAUUUAUUCAAGUGGUACAUGCGACACAACAAAUGGUUUGAUUAUACUAGUCAUGUAAUCAAUUUUGUUUAUACACGCACUGAACACAUCAUUUGCACACACCAUGUACAAGACAAAAAGAACAAAGAGUGACUAUUUUUAGCAUUAUAUUAUAUACGCUAUAUAGAUUAUUGAUUAUACGCAAUUAUAUCAAUUUGAAUAUCAUAUGUACCUGAGUUUAUAUUAUAGGAGUAUAUGAGAGGGCUGUACGAUUCUUUUAGACAAAUGUUAUUUACUAUCGUGUUGCUGACUGAAUGAAAUAAAGAAUGUUACAAAAUAUAGAUGAUUUUGGAAAAUGCAAGCCAUUUUGCAUUUAGGUUGGUGCAAAAAAGGCAUAUAUUAUAUAUAUCCAAUGAACAGCACAUACUAACCCAAACAGAACAUUUUAUACCUCACUUCUUUCUUUAAAACAUCCCUUUUAAUGACAGUACCAAGUUUAGUAAUUUUCCCCCCAAAUGUUAGCUCUGCUUUUAAGGAGUCGGGACAUGUAAUUGGGAAUGUUGGGGAUGUGUAUGUCGUAAAGUAAUGGAGGGGGUGGUUAAAUAAAGUCAUGGAGUAUAUUAAAA
Lytechinus pictus (painted urchin) is the source of this 1154-nucleotide long non-coding RNA. RefSeq lists it as uncharacterized. Lineage: Eukaryota; Metazoa; Echinodermata; Echinoidea; Temnopleuroida; Toxopneustidae. The record is from RefSeq and is a predicted model, not a curated record. The transcript has 2 exons.